Brassica oleracea var. oleracea is the source of this 509-nucleotide long non-coding RNA. RefSeq lists it as uncharacterized. The record is from RefSeq and is a predicted model, not a curated record. The transcript has 3 exons. NCBI's taxonomy places the organism in Eukaryota, Viridiplantae, Streptophyta, Magnoliopsida, Brassicales, Brassicaceae.
CUAAAAUUCACUCCAGUUUAACAAACGAUCAAUUUUAAAUAAUUACUAGCUGCUCUUUUGAUUUAGAGAGGAAAAAGGAGAAAAUAUGCAUCAUCAUUUGGAGACGACGACAAAUCAACCACUUUGUCCUAAGCCACGUCGUGUGUGUCCUUCUCUUCCUGAUUUUCUCAAGCCUCUCUCAAGUUCACUACACUCUUCCAACUGUCAACAAAGUUCGGAGGGAAGAAGCGGCAUUCUCAACAUAAUUGAUAAGCCGAUAGAAGGUGGAACAAUAGAGUGGUAUACAGGGUCACCACCUAAGAGAACCAGGAAUCCUCUUGUCCACGACCUUCAUUUCGUUCACUGCCAUGACCUUCUCCCCAAUUUCCCAAGCACCAAGGCUUGAUCUUCACAUCUUUGUAGACGAUUUAUGCAUACACAACCGUACAAACAAACAAACAAAAAGAAAAGAAAAACUUUAAACUGGUCGCUCAUGCUUUGCACCAACAAGUUUGAAGUUUAUUCUUUGA